This is a long non-coding RNA of Leptinotarsa decemlineata (Colorado potato beetle), 479 nucleotides long. Lineage: Eukaryota; Metazoa; Arthropoda; Insecta; Coleoptera; Chrysomelidae. The record is from RefSeq and is a predicted model, not a curated record.
CUGAGGUAUAAUGUUUGUUGUUAUUCACAUAUGGACCCUUCUGAGCGAUAUUCUUGGAUGUUUUGACAACAGGGUAGAUAUCCUUUCGACCUCUAAAAAUCGGCAAUGGAAGAAUCCAUGAUCUUUGAUCAAGAAAGAAGAUUUACAAAGUUUCCAUAUUUUUUGUCAGUGAGCUAGCAAUGAAUGGAAUAAGAUUAUCUAAAAAUCAAUAAAUUUUGAGAAAUACCUCAACACAUGAAGAAUAUUUUGCAUAAAACUUUAGUAAUGGCAAAAUUGAUUCUUCUACUCCUACUACAUAAUAAAGGGAUGAGAUACUACAACAUAGCCAGGGAUAAAAAAAUGUUACAUAGCAAGUAAUUGCAAGGGAUAUCAAGAAAUAUGUAUCGAGAGAUAGCAAGAGGGAUAGCAAGAGAUAGCAAAGAGAUCACUAGGAAUGGCAAAGGAUACCUAGGAUACUACUAGAUAGCAGGAGGAUAAGA